AUGAGUACCCAACAUGCUCCUGUUGCGCCUGAAGAAGCUAUGCAGACAGAAGGCGACAUUUUUGAUGACACAACGACGUUUGGUGAAACAGGUGGAACUAUUGCACAAGGGGUUGUGGGAAAUGUUAAUGACGAUGAAGCUUGGUCCCAACCAAGAGAGCCUUUCAUAGGAAUGAGGUUUGAUACUCUUGAGUGUGCUCAAGAACAGUACAAUGCCUAUGCUCUCCGACUUGGGUUUUCGAUGAACACUUCUAGGAAAAACACAAAAACUGGAAAGUUGGAGAAGCAACAAUUUGUUUGCAAUAAGUUUCGAAAACCAAAAGUUGAUGAUGGAGGUGCGGAAACUGUCCCUGCCCUAGAUGUGAUUGAGGACACUAAUGGAGAUGCAGAAGAUGGUGCAGACGAUGAGAUUGUCUUCCUUGAUGAUGAGUGCAGGAAAAAAAGAAGUCCAAGAAAAGAAAGCGAGAUACAAUAG
This 474-nucleotide ribosomal RNA is filed under the name Triticum aestivum (bread wheat). Its description in RNAcentral is "partial small subunit ribosomal RNA". Lineage: Eukaryota; Viridiplantae; Streptophyta; Magnoliopsida; Poales; Poaceae. The record is from RNAcentral.